Molecule: long non-coding RNA, 362 nt
Filed under: Nicotiana benthamiana
Lineage: Eukaryota; Viridiplantae; Streptophyta; Magnoliopsida; Solanales; Solanaceae
Description: long non-coding RNA (NBEN_LNC029933)
Source: RNAcentral
UUGAAAUAUACCUGGGAAUGAAAAAGCAACGGAAAAGAUGAUGGAUCAGCAGUGAGCAACGAUAGAAUUUAACCCAAAUUCAGUUUUUAAACAGAAAAAUGAGAUUCACCAGUCCAAAACCAGCUUCAAUCGAACAAUAAUCAAAACCAAAUUUCUUCAAAUCCAAGUUUAAUCCAUUUAUACCCCAUAUGAAUCAGAAGGUGUUUCAACAACUAAAAAACUUCAGAAAUCCGAGAAAAUCAUUCAAUGAAAUAGUGAUUUAUGGAAGAACUUGUAUUGUUUCCUUUUUUUCUUAACUUUAUGCUUCCAGAUUUCUAUAGAACAGUAAACAAUGCAGCCUUUUUAGGAUUCUCAGCUCAAGG